GACGAACCGUGCGACCGUUGUUCGGAAUCACUGGGCUUAAAGGGCGCGUGGGCGGUUCUGCCAGUCCGGGGUGAAAGCCCCCAGCUCAACUGGGGAAGUGCCUUGGAAACUGCGGGUCUUGAGGGAGGUAGGGGCAUGUGGAACUUCGGGUGGAGCGGUGAAAUGCGUUGAUAUCCGAAGGAACGCCGGUGGCGAAAGCGACGGGCUGGAUCGCUUCUGACGCUGAGGCGCGAAAGCUAGGGUAGCGAACGGG
Molecule: ribosomal RNA, 253 nt
Filed under: uncultured bacterium
Lineage: Bacteria
Description: partial 16S ribosomal RNA
Rfam family: Bacterial small subunit ribosomal RNA
Source: RNAcentral